Molecule: ribosomal RNA, 116 nt
Filed under: Escherichia coli
Lineage: Bacteria; Pseudomonadati; Pseudomonadota; Gammaproteobacteria; Enterobacterales; Enterobacteriaceae
Also listed under: 2 other names
Description: partial 23S ribosomal RNA
Rfam family: Bacterial large subunit ribosomal RNA (bases 1-98)
Source: RNAcentral
UGAAGGAACGUUGAAGACGACGACGUUGAUAGGCCGGGUGUGUAAGCGCAGCGAUGCGUUGAGCUAACCGGUACUAAUGAACCGUGAGGCUUAACCUUACAACGCCGAAGGUGUUU